This 403-nucleotide ribosomal RNA is filed under the name uncultured bacterium. RNAcentral's name for it is "partial 16S ribosomal RNA". It matches the Rfam family "Bacterial small subunit ribosomal RNA", at positions 30 to 526 of the family's 1533-position model. The record is from RNAcentral.
AUUGAACGCUGGCGUCAGGCCUAACACAUGCAGGUCGAGCGAGCGGUGGACGGGUGAGUAAUGUAUGGGGAUUGCCCGUUAGAGGGGGAUAACUACUGGAAACGUUGCCUAAUACCGCCUACUGUUGGAUAACCUCUAUGGGAUGAGCUAGUAGGUAAGGUAAUGGCUUACCUAGGCGACGAUCCCUAGCUGGUCAGGGCGGAUGAUCAGCCACACUGGGACUGAGACACGGCCCAGACUCCGAGGGAGGCAGCAGUGGGGAAUAUUACAGAAUGGGCGAGAGCCUGAUGCAGCAAUGCGGCGUGUAUGAAGAAGGCCCUAGGGUUGUAAAGUAAUUUCAGUCGGGAGGCGUUACCGACAGAAGAAGCACCGGCUAACUCCGUGCCAGCAGCCGCGGUAAUAC